GCCUCCGUAGCUCAACGGAUAGAGCAGCGGACUUCUAAUCCGAAGGCUGCGGGUUCGAGUCCCGCCGGGGGCA
Molecule: transfer RNA, 73 nt
Filed under: Bifidobacteriaceae bacterium
Lineage: Bacteria; Bacillati; Actinomycetota; Actinomycetes; Bifidobacteriales; Bifidobacteriaceae
Description: tRNA-Arg
Rfam family: tRNA
About the family: Transfer RNA (tRNA) molecules are approximately 80 nucleotides in length. Their secondary structure includes four short double-helical elements and three loops (D, anti-codon, and T loops). Further hydrogen bonds mediate the characteristic L-shaped molecular structure. tRNAs have two regions of fundamental functional importance: the anti-codon, which is responsible for specific mRNA codon recognition, and the 3' end, to which the tRNAs corresponding amino acid is attached (by aminoacyl-tRNA synthetases). tRNAs cope with the degeneracy of the genetic code in two manners: having more than one tRNA (with a specific anti-codon) for a particular amino acid; and 'wobble' base-pairing, i.e. permitting non-standard base-pairing at the 3rd anti-codon position.
Source: RNAcentral